AGUGAACGCUGGCGGUAGGCCUAACACAUGCCAGUCGAACGGCAGCACAGUAAGAGCUUGCUCUUACGGGUGGCGAGUGGCGGACGGGUGAGGAAUACAUCGGAAUCUACUUUUUCGUGGGGGAUAACGUAGGGAAACUUACGCUAAUACCGCAUACGACCUACGGGUGAAAGCAGGGGAUCUUCGGACCUUGCGCGAUUGAAUGAGCCGAUGUCGGAUUAGCUAGUUGGCGGGGUAAAGGCCCACCAAGGCGACGAUCCGUAGCUGGUCUGAGAGGAUGAUCAGACACACUGGAACUGAGACACGGUCCAGACUCCUACGGGAGGACGCAGUGGGGAAUAUUGGACAAUGGGGGCAAGCCGGAUACAGCCAUACCGCGUGGGUGAAGAAGGCCUUCGGGUUGUAAAGCCCUUUUGUUGGGAAAGAAAAGCAGCAGGUUAAUACCCCGCUGUUCUGACGGUACCCAAAGAAUAAGCACCGGCUAACUUCGUG
RNAcentral lists this ribosomal RNA (492 nucleotides) under uncultured bacterium. RNAcentral's name for it is "partial 16S ribosomal RNA". It matches the Rfam family "Bacterial small subunit ribosomal RNA", at positions 29 to 507 of the family's 1533-position model. The record is from RNAcentral.